RNAcentral lists this microRNA precursor (97 nucleotides) under Zostera marina. Its description in RNAcentral is "mir-166 microRNA precursor family". It matches the Rfam family "mir-166 microRNA precursor family". Rfam says of the family: This family represents the plant microRNA (miRNA) precursor mir-166. Animal miRNAs are transcribed as ~70nt precursors and subsequently processed by the Dicer enzyme to give a ~22nt product. In plants the precursor sequences may be longer, and the carpel factory (caf) enzyme appears to be involved in processing. The record is from Rfam by way of RNAcentral. Lineage: Eukaryota; Viridiplantae; Streptophyta; Magnoliopsida; Alismatales; Zosteraceae.
GUUAAGGGGGAUGUUGUUUGGCUCGAAGUCAUACAGUCAUAGGAAGCACUUGAUCCUUUGUCUAUGUGAUCUCGGACCAGGCUUCAUUCCUCUAAAC